AAGGGUAUAGCUCAGUGGUAGAGCACAUGCUUAGCAUGCACAAGGUCCUGGGUUCAAUCCCCAGUACCUCCA
Transfer RNA from Camelus ferus (Wild Bactrian camel), 72 nucleotides. It matches the Rfam family "tRNA". Rfam says of the family: Transfer RNA (tRNA) molecules are approximately 80 nucleotides in length. The record is from Rfam. Lineage: Eukaryota; Metazoa; Chordata; Mammalia; Artiodactyla; Camelidae.